RNAcentral lists this ribosomal RNA (1122 nucleotides) under Triticum aestivum (bread wheat). RNAcentral describes it as "partial small subunit ribosomal RNA". The record is from RNAcentral. Lineage: Eukaryota; Viridiplantae; Streptophyta; Magnoliopsida; Poales; Poaceae.
AUGACCAUUAGCUGCAGGCUCGUGGCGGUCGCCGUGGCGCUGGCGCUGGCGGCGGCGCUCCUGUCGUCAUCGCCACUGCGCGGCGACGUGCGGGCGGUGGUGGAGAUACGCGACGUGGAGCUGAUCCCCGUGGACGGCGGCGCCGCGGGGCCGGAGAGCGUGGCGUUCGGCGUGGGCGGCGAGGGCCCCUACGCGGGCGUGUCGGACGGGAGGGUCAUCCGGUGGCUCCCGGAGGAGGGCCGCUGGGUCGAGCACUCCUCCGCCGCCGCGCCAGAGCUAUUGGAUAGUUGCAGAGGAUCCCAGGACCCGAUGAAGGAGCACGAGUGUGGGCGCCCGCUGGGCCUCAAGUUCAACAACAAAACUGGGGAGUUGUACGUCGCAGAUUCCUAUUUUGGGCUGAGAGUGGUCAGCCCCGGGGAUAACGUUUCAAGGCUGAUUGGGCCUGGACAGCCUGGGAGACCCUAUAGCUUCGCCAACGGCGUCGAGAUCGACCAGGAAACUGGAGUUGUCUACUUCACCGAGACCAGCACGAGGUUCCAGAGAAGGCAGUUCUUGAACAUUGUCAUAUCCGGUGACGCCACUGGCAGAUUGCUCAAAUAUGACCCUAACACCAACGAGGUUCAAGUCUUGGUCGACGGCCUGGCAUUCCCCAACGGCCUUCUCAUGAGUGAAGGCGGAUCCCACCUUCUCCUCGCCGAGACCACAACCUGCAUGAUCCACCGAUACUGGCUCAAGACACCCAAGGCCUCAACCCUCGAGGAACUCGUGCAGCUACCGGGCUUCCCAGACAACAUCAAGGCGAGCCCGAGAGGCGGCUUCUGGGUCGGCCUCCAUGGCAAGCGAGGUAAGAUCGCCGAGUGGUCCACCUCUUUCCCGUGGUUGAGGAGGUUGGUCAUGAAGCUGCCACCCCAGCGCGUGCAGCGUGUCAUGGCGUUCCUGAGCCGGUUUGGAAGUCAGGUGAUUGCGUUGAGGGUCAGCGAGGAGGGGAAGGUGUUGGAAGAGGUAAUCGUGCACGACGCGGCGAGGAAGAUGUUUGGAUCCAUCAGUGAACUGGAGGAAAGGGACGGGCGCUUGUGGAUUGGCUCGGUUCAUUUGCCUUUUCUUGGGCAUUACUGCCUAUAG